AACGCUGGCGGCGUGCUUAACACAUGCAAGUCGAGCGACGCUCUCCCUUCGGGGGGAUGACGGAGCGGCGAACGGGUGAGUAACACGUGGGCAACCUGCCCCUCGCUCUGGGACAACCCGGGGAAACUCGGGCUAAUACCGGAUACGACCGACUCGGGCAUCCGAUGUUGGUGAAAAGUUUUUCGGCGAGGGAUGGGCCCGCGGCCUAUCAGCUUGUUGGUGGGGUGAUGGCCUACCAAGGCGACGACGGGUAGCCGGCCUGAGAGGGCGACCGGCCACACUGGGACUGAGACACGGCCCAGACUCCUACGGGAGGCAGCAGUGGGGAAUAUUGCGCAAUGGGCGAAAGCCUGACGCAGCGACGCCGCGUGAGGGAUGACGGCCUUCGGGUUGUAAACCUCUUUCAGCAGGGACGAAUUCAGAGUGACGGUACCUGCAGAAGAAGCACCGGCCAACUACGUGCCAGCAGCCGCGGUAAUACGUAGGGUGCAAGCGUUGUCCGGAAUUAUUGGGCGUAAAGAGCUCGUAGGCGGUCUGUCGCGUCGGCUGUGAAAACUCGGGGCUCAGCCCCGAGCCUGCAGUCGAUACGGGCAGACUAGAGUGCUGUAGGGGAGACUGGAAUUCCUGGUGUAGCGGUGAGAUGCGCAGAUAUCAGGAGGAACACCGGUGGCGAAGGCGGGUCUCUGGGCAGUAACUGACGCUGAGGAGCGAAAGCGUGGGGAGCGAACAGGAUUAGAUACCCUGGUAGUCCACGCCGUAAACGGUGGGUGCUAGGUGUGAGCGGUAUUCCGCGCCGUUCGUGCCGCAGCUAACGCAUUAAGCACCCCGCCUGGGGAGUACGGCCGCAAGGCUAAAACUCAAAGGAAUUGACGGGGGCCCGCACAAGCAGCGGAGCAUGUGGCUUAAUUCGACGCAACGCGAAGAACCUUACCAAGGCUUGACAUACACCGAAAACUCGUAGAGAUACGGGGUCCGCAAGGGCGGUGUACAGGUGGUGCAUGGUUGUCGUCAGCUCGUGUCGUGAGAUGUUGGGUUAAGUCCCGCAACGAGCGCAACCCUCGUUCUAUGUUGCCAGCACAUCAUGGUGGGGACUCAUAGGAGACUGCCGGGGCCAACUCGGAGGAAGGUGGGGACGACGUCAAAUCAUCAUGCCCCUUAUGUCUUGGGCUGCACACAUGCUACAAUGGCCGGUACAAAGGGCUGCUAAGCCGCGAGGUGGAGCGAAUCCCAAAAAGCCGGUCUCAGUUCGGAUUGGGGUCUGCAACUCGACCCCAUGAAGUCGGAGUUGCUAGUAAUCGCAGAUCAGCAACGCUGCGGUGAAUACGUUCCCGGGCCUUGUACACACCGCCCGUCACGUCACGAAAGUCGGUAACACCCGAAGCCAGUGGCCCAACCGUUCGCGGAGGGAGCUGUCGAAGGUGGGAC
This 1425-nucleotide ribosomal RNA is filed under the name uncultured Actinomycetes bacterium. RNAcentral's name for it is "bacterial SSU rRNA". It matches the Rfam family "Bacterial small subunit ribosomal RNA". Lineage: Bacteria; Bacillati; Actinomycetota; Actinomycetes. The record is from RNAcentral.